This 558-nucleotide ribosomal RNA is filed under the name Megophrys maosonensis. RNAcentral's name for it is "Xenophrys maosonensis partial 16S ribosomal RNA". It matches the Rfam family "Bacterial large subunit ribosomal RNA", at positions 1818 to 2603 of the family's 2925-position model. The record is from RNAcentral. Lineage: Eukaryota; Metazoa; Chordata; Amphibia; Anura; Megophryidae.
GCCUCUUGCACACUUUAUGAGGUAAUGCCUGCCCAGUGACCAUGAGUUCAACGGCCGCGGUAUUCUGACCGCGCGAAGGUAGCGUAAUCACUUGUCUUCUAAAUAAAGACUAGUAUGAACGGCCACACGAAGACUUGACUGUCUCCCCUGUCCAAUCAGUGAAACUGAUCUCCUCGUGCAGAAGCGAGGAUUUACCCAUAAGACGAGAAGACCCUAUGGAGCUUUAAACUCAAUAUUAAUUAUCUUUAAAUCCCCUCUAAGGAGCUAACAAAUAACUUUUUAAACUUAAUAUUAGUUUUAGGUUGGGGCGACCAUGGAGAAAAAAAUAUCCUCCCUGAUGAUUUCUAAACCAAGAGCCACAGCUCUAAGUAUUAAGAUACUUAACUUCCAUUGACCCAUUUAUGAUCAACGAACCAAGUUACCCUAGGGAUAACAGCGCAAUCCAUUUCAAGAGUCCCUAUCGACAAAUGGGUUUACGACCUCGAUGUUGGAUCAGGGCAUCCUAGUGGUGCAACCGCUACUAACGGUUCGUUUUUCAACGAUUAAAGCCCUACGUGA